UCCCACAGAGUCCACUGAGCGGCCAUCUC
Molecule: non-coding RNA, 29 nt
Filed under: Homo sapiens (human)
Lineage: Eukaryota; Metazoa; Chordata; Mammalia; Primates; Hominidae
Source: RNAcentral